Molecule: ribosomal RNA, 253 nt
Filed under: uncultured bacterium
Lineage: Bacteria
Description: partial 16S ribosomal RNA
Rfam family: Bacterial small subunit ribosomal RNA
Source: RNAcentral
UACAUGUGGUGCAAGCGUUGUUCGGAUUUACUGGGCUUAAAGGGUGCGUAGGCGGCUUUAUAAGUCAGGGGUGAAAGUCGAUGGCCCAACCAUCGAAGUGCCUUUGAUACUGUGAAGCUUGAGUGGGUGAGGGGCAGACGGAACGAGUGGUGUAGCGGUGAAAUGCGUAGAUAUCACUCGGAAGGCCGGAGGCGAAGGCGGUCUGCUGGUACCCAACUGACGCUGAGGCACGAAAGCGUGGGGAUCAAACAGG